Long non-coding RNA from Beta vulgaris subsp. vulgaris (sugar beet), 636 nucleotides. RefSeq lists it as uncharacterized. The transcript is spliced from 3 exons. The record is from RefSeq and is a predicted model, not a curated record. NCBI's taxonomy places the organism in Eukaryota, Viridiplantae, Streptophyta, Magnoliopsida, Caryophyllales, Amaranthaceae.
UCUUCUCCUUUCUUCCUUCUGUUUUUUCUUUUUUUUGUUCAAAAUCUGCAUAACACGAAGCCAUUAUUCAUCCUUCAAUUCUUCAUCUGAGCAGCUUGUGAGCCAUCGCGCCUGUGCAUUCCAGUUUUCACCACCAUUGUCGCCUACUGUCUGGAUCUGAGAUGGAAGGUUUGUACUUGUUGCGGAGCAGGUUGGCAUAUGUUUGUAUAUCCUGGCGAAAGCCGAUUCAUAUCGUGAUGCAGCUGAUAGAUUUCAACACUCAAUAUCAACUAUUUGUAUCUAUAAUAGAAAGGUAUUGCAAGCCUUAGUUGCAUUAUCAAAAGAUAUCAUUCGGCCAUAUCAAAGUUUAAAUGAAGUUCCAACAAAAAUCGCCAACAAUGAUAAGUAUUGGCCUUUCUUUAAGGAUUGUAUUGGUGCUCUAGAUGGGACCCACAUAGACGCAAUAGUAGGAGAUAAAGCUGCACAACCAUUUAGAUGUCGUAAAGGAAACAAAAUGUGGAAUGUGUUAGCUUCUUGUUCUUUUGAUAUGCUUUUCAUGUACAUUUGUGUCGGGUUCGAAGGAAGUGCACAUGACACAGCAGUUUUGAGGCAUUGUUUAAGCGAUCCUAAUAUGGGAUUCCACCACCCACCUCCAGG